CACCGCGGUUAGACGAGAGGCCCUAGUUGAUAAUAUAACGGCGUAAAGGGUGGUUAAGGACAAAAUAAAAUAAAGCCAAAUGGCCCAUUGGCCGUCAUACGCUUCUAGGCGUCCGAAGCCCUCACACGAAAGUAGCUUUAAUAACCCCGCCUGACCCCACGAAAGCUAAGAAA
This 173-nucleotide ribosomal RNA is filed under the name Labeo catla (catla). Its description in RNAcentral is "partial 12S rRNA". The record is from RNAcentral. Lineage: Eukaryota; Metazoa; Chordata; Actinopteri; Cypriniformes; Cyprinidae.